Molecule: ribosomal RNA, 301 nt
Filed under: uncultured bacterium
Lineage: Bacteria
Description: partial 16S ribosomal RNA
Rfam family: Bacterial small subunit ribosomal RNA
Source: RNAcentral
CAGCAGCCGCGGUAAUACGGAGGGGGCUAGCGUUGUUCGGAAUUACUGGGCGUAAAGCGCACGUAGGCGGCUUGGUAAGUUAGAGGUGAAAGCCCGGAGCUCAACUCCGGAAUUGCCUUUAAGACUGCCGAGCUAGCAGGUGAGAGAGGUAAGUGGAAUUCCGAGUGUAGAGGUGAAAUUCGUAGAUAUUCGGAAGAACACCAGUGGCGAAGGCGGCUUACUGGCUCAUACUAGACGCUGAGGUGCGAAAGCGUGGGGAGCAAACAGGAUUAGAUACCCCCGUAGUCCCUGUCUCUUAUAC